Molecule: ribosomal RNA, 258 nt
Filed under: uncultured archaeon
Lineage: Archaea
Description: partial 16S ribosomal RNA
Rfam family: Archaeal small subunit ribosomal RNA
Source: RNAcentral
CAGCCGUAAACUAUGCGCGUUAGGUGUAUCGGUGACCACGAGUUACCGAGGUGCCGAAGGGAAACCGUGAAACGUGCCGCCUGGGAAGUACGGUCGCAAGGCUGAAACUUAAAGGAAUUGGCGGGGGAGCACCACAACAGGUGGAGCCUGCGGUUUAAUUGGACUCAACGCCGGGAAGCUCACCGGAUAGGACAGCAGAAUGAUUGCCGGGCUGAAGACCCUGCAUGACUAGCUGAGAGGAGGUGCAUGGCGUAGUCG